ACUCGAGUGGCGAACGGGUGAGUAACACGUGGGUGAUCUGCCCUGCACUUCGGGAUAAGCCUGGGGAACUGGGUCUAAUACCGGAUAGGAGCCAUUUUUAGUGUGAUGGUUGGAAAGUUUUUCGGUGUAGGAUGAGCUCGCGGCCUAUCAGCUUGUUGGUGGGGUAAUGGCCUACCAAGGCGGCGACGGGUAGCCGGCCUGAGAGGGUGGACGGCCACAUUGGGACUGAGAUACGGCCCAG
Molecule: ribosomal RNA, 241 nt
Filed under: uncultured Actinomycetales bacterium
Lineage: Bacteria; Bacillati; Actinomycetota; Actinomycetes; Actinomycetales
Description: partial 16S ribosomal RNA
Rfam family: Bacterial small subunit ribosomal RNA
Source: RNAcentral